Molecule: transfer RNA, 28 nt
Filed under: Pineus sp. HC-2016
Lineage: Eukaryota; Metazoa; Arthropoda; Insecta; Hemiptera; Adelgidae
Description: partial tRNA-Leu
Source: RNAcentral
UUUAUAAAGAAAAAUCUUUUUUUAGAAA